RNAcentral lists this ribosomal RNA (924 nucleotides) under bacterium enrichment culture clone L55B-87. RNAcentral describes it as "bacterial SSU rRNA". It matches the Rfam family "Bacterial small subunit ribosomal RNA", at positions 8 to 916 of the family's 1533-position model. The record is from RNAcentral.
AGAGUUUGAUCCUGGCUCAGGGCUAACGCUGGCGGCGUGUCUUAGCCAUGCAAGUCGAGCGGACUUAUGGGGUAACUUAUAAGUCAGCGGCGGACGGCGGAGUAACACGUAGCUAACCUACCCUCUGGACGGGGAUAACCUACCGAAAGGUGGGCUAAUACCCGAUGUAGUCAUCCUGUAUAGGGGUGAUGAAAGGUGGGCUUCUGUUUACAAGCUCAUGCUGGAGGAGGGGGCUGCGGCCUAUCAGGUAGUUGGUAGGGUAAUAGCCUACCAAGCCGAUGACGGGUAGCCGGCCUGAGAGGGUGACCGGCCCGAGGGGCACUGAGAUACGGGUCCCACUCCUACGGGAGGCAGCAGGCUAGAAAUUUGGGCAAUGGGGGAAACCCUGACCCAGUGACGCCGCGUGCAGGAAGGAGCCCUUCGGGGUGUAAACUGCUGUCGUGUAGGGAGAAGGGUACUAAGGUGAACAAUCUUAGUACUUGACGGUACUACAGGAGGAAGCCCAGGCUAACCUCGUGCCAGCAGCCGCGGUAAUACGGGGUGGGCGAGCGUUGCCCGGAAUUACUGGGUUUAAAGGGGGUGUAGGCGGUCUGGAUAGUCGGGUGUGUAAUGCAAUCGCUCAACGAUUGAGCUGCAUCUGAUACUUCCAGGCUAGAGGGCGGUAGAGGAGAGCGGAACUCCCGGUGUAGCGGUGAAAUGCGUAGAUAUCGGGAGGAACGCCGGUGGCGAAGGCGGCUCUCUGGGCCGUUCCUGACGCUGAGGCCCGAAAGCUGGGGGAGCGAAAGGGAUUAGAUACCCCUGUAGUCCCAGCCGUAAACGAUGGGCACUAGGUGUACCUUUUAACGGAGGUAUACCGUCGGGAAACCAAUAAGUGCCCCACCUGGGGAGUACGCCCGCAAGGGUGAAACUCAAAUGAAUUGACGG